UGGGGAAUAUUGGACAAUGGGCGCAAGCCUGAUCCAGCCAUGCCGCGUGAGUGAUGAAGGCCUUAGGGUUGUAAAGCUCUUUUAGCGGGGAAGAUAAUGACGGUACCGGGAGAAGAAGCUGCGGCUAACUACGUGCCAGCAGCCGCGGUAAUACGUAGGCAGCAAGCGUUGUUCGGAGUUACUGGGCGUAAAGAGUGCGUAGGCGGUUUUCUAAGUUCGGUGUGAAAUCUCCCGGCUUAACUGGGAGGGUGCGCCGAAGACUGGGAAGCUGGAGUGUGGGAAAGGCAGGCGGAAUACCUGGUGUAGCGGUGAAAUGCGUAGAUAUCAGGAGGAACACCGGCGGUGUAGACGGCUUGCUAGACCAUAACUGACGCUGAGGCACGAAAGCGUGGGUAGCAAACA
Molecule: ribosomal RNA, 402 nt
Filed under: uncultured bacterium
Lineage: Bacteria
Description: bacterial SSU rRNA
Rfam family: Bacterial small subunit ribosomal RNA
Source: RNAcentral